This 301-nucleotide small nucleolar RNA is filed under the name Aspergillus wentii DTO 134E9. RNAcentral describes it as "Fungal small nucleolar RNA U3". It matches the Rfam family "Fungal small nucleolar RNA U3". From Rfam's summary of the family: Small nucleolar RNAs (snoRNAs) are involved in the processing and modification of rRNA in the nucleolus. There are two main classes of snoRNAs: the box C/D class, and the box H/ACA class. The record is from Rfam by way of RNAcentral. Lineage: Eukaryota; Fungi; Ascomycota; Eurotiomycetes; Eurotiales; Aspergillaceae.
ACUGCCACAGUUCAAAGAAUCACUUUAGAGUAGACGUCCCACCUCUGAGCUCUUUAAAAGAGCCACAGAAUCUCCACCCUUGCUGAUGACUGCUAUGUCCUCGAUGCCCUUAAGUGAAGCCGUUUUACUUCCGACUCGACCUUGUUUAUCACACGCUUUCGAUACGACGCUGCCUCUGGCGGUGCUUGUUCGGGGUGCUGUCGAUUUGCUCUGGUCCAGGGAGUGGUGAUGAUCUUAACCUUUUCUCGAUGUCAGACUUCGGUCGGUCGGACUUGGUGGGUGUCGAGGAGGUCUGAAAGGU